RNAcentral lists this ribosomal RNA (444 nucleotides) under uncultured bacterium. RNAcentral describes it as "bacterial SSU rRNA". It matches the Rfam family "Bacterial small subunit ribosomal RNA", at positions 331 to 792 of the family's 1533-position model. The record is from RNAcentral.
CCAGACUCCUACGGGAGGCAGCAGUGGGGAAUAUUGCACAAUGGGGGAAACCCUGAUGCAGCGACGCCGCGUGAGCGAAGAAGUAUUUCGGUAUGUAAAGCUCUAUCAGCAGGGAAGAAAAUGACGGUACCUGAGUAAGAAGCUCCGGCUAAAUACGUGCCAGCAGCCGCGGUAAUACGUAUGGAGCAAGCGUUAUCCGGAUUUACUGGGCGUAAAGGGAGCGUAGGCGGCCUGCCAAGUCUGAUGUGAAAUACCGGGGCUCAACCCCGGGGCUGCAUUGGAAACUGGCAGGCUGGAGUGCCGGAGAGGCAGGCGGAAUUCCUAGUGUAGCGGUGAAAUGCGUAGAUAUUAGGAGGAACACCAGUGGCGAAGGCGGCCUGCUGGACGGUGACUGACGCUGAGGCUCGAAAGCGUGGGGAGCAAACAGGAUUAGAUACCCGAGUA